RNAcentral lists this ribosomal RNA (301 nucleotides) under uncultured bacterium. RNAcentral's name for it is "partial 16S ribosomal RNA". It matches the Rfam family "Bacterial small subunit ribosomal RNA", at positions 509 to 807 of the family's 1533-position model. The record is from RNAcentral.
CAGCAGCCGCGGGAAUACGUAGGGUGCGAGCGUUGAUCGGAAUUACUGGGCGUAAAGCGUGCGCAGGCGGUUGUGUAAGACAGGUGUGAAAUCCCCGGGCUUAACCUGGGAACUGCGCUUGUGACUGCACAGCUAGAGUAUGGCAGAGGGGGGUGGAAUUCCACGUGUAGCAGUGAAAUGCGUAGAGAUGUGGAGGAACACCGAUGGCGAAGGCAGCCCCCUGGGCCAAUACUGACGCUCAUGCACGAAAGCGUGGGGAGCAAACAGGAUUAGAUACCCCGGUAGUCCCUGUCUCUUAUAC